GACGUCACUUCGGUAUUAAAAGGCCCAUGACUGCCUCAGCAUUGAGCACAGACCCUUGAUCCAGCAGGAAACUUCUCCAGAAGAAGAUAACACAGGCAUAAGAAUGAAUAAACUUUGGAUUCUGAGUUUUGCAGUGCUACUCAUCACCAUUCCAUUUUCAACUCAGGAUGGCAGUGAGCCGAAAAGCAGUGGCUCAUCACCUGCGACUACCUCCACGAAUUCCAGCGCUGUGGGAUUGGGUCCUGUGCCCACCACACUGUACCUGCUGAUCCCUGCAGCCACCCUGGGCUUCUUACACAGCAUAUCCUAAAGUGAUGGAUGGAGAGCGCUCACCAUAGAUGACCCACACAGAGACAGUGGCGAAAUGGACAGCCAUCCACUCAAAGAGCAAACUUUUCCACAAAUCUUGAAGAGAGAAGAUGCCUCAGCUCACAUUUUUGUAAUGGAUUUUAUUUAAUGAAAAUGAAUAAAGUUUUGAGAAUUUCUUCAAGAGGGAUUUGUUUGGUUACAUCUGUUUUAGGGAGCUUCAAAGACACCUGCAGCUUUGGCUCUUUGUUUUAGAGCUCACCUACUCAAUGGCAAAUUCCCUUGGAAGAGUUCGAUUCUCCUGUGCUCAGUAUAUGAUUGAGAUGAAGCAAGUUAACAAAACUCCAUUACUUUAAUCAGUAAUCACAUUAAAAUUUUAGUCCAAUUUCUGUAAUGACGGCUUGUGUACUACAAAUUUGACAUUUUACAAUAAAUGUGAUCAAUGUACUACAUUUCAGAAUGUACAUCUCAUUUUUUUCAUUCAAACCAGUAUGAAUGUUUCAUCCUAAGAUGUAUAAUCAGAGUUUCAUAAUAGUUUACCCCAUGUGUUUUAUUUAAGAAUUAGAUGAGUACAAAUAUAGACUUAGAAUAAUCAGGAUUCUCUGUAUGUUCUCUCAUGCCAACAACAUACUGAACAAAGCAAAAGAGAGUUUUAUAAUAGUUUUAGUAAGGUUAAUAAAAUGUAGAGUAGAAAAUACAGGUAUCCUAGUUAGAAAUUUAUUCGAGAAUUGAGUGUAUUUGACAUUUUGAAAACAGUUUUAAGAGAUGAAGGCACUGUACUGAUAGAGGAUGUGAUCCUCUUCUUAAACCAAUGAUCAGGUGCUUAAACACGUCACACAUUAUUCACGGUGAGAAUAAAACUCCCCUCCUGCACCGCAUAAGCACAAACUCUGCCCACAGAAAACAUCUCUGCAAGGAGAAAAAGAAGGCAUAAUCAUGAAUAAAAUACUGGCAUUGUGCAUCGGGUUACUGAUUAUAACCUUACCCUUUUCAUCUCAGGAGGGAAAUAAUUCAACCAAAGUAACUCCAUCUUCAACCAAGCCUCCACCCAGUGCUGCAGGAUUGGGUCAGCUGCCCACCGUGAUGUGCCUUCUGAUCCCAGCAGUCACCGUGGGCUUCAUCCACAGUAGAUCCUAAACUGGCUGGAGAAUAUUCCGAUGACCAAGAGGAGCAAAGAUAGAUAGCCAGUCACAUGAAGACCACACUUUCCCAAAAUUCUUGAAGAUAUAAGACACAAGAACAGCUCAAUAAGAAGAUGCCACAACGAAUCAACAUUUUUUAAAUAAUAAUAAUAAAAACUGGGAUUUAAAGGAAAAUAUCCACUGUAUACUGAACCAAGGAUCCUCCAAAGCCCAAAGAAACCACACCAUCAAACUCUGUUGCGUUUUAGUAUUUUACUUUAAAUUGGACUCAUCAGUUGCAACAUCUUGUGAAAGACUGUAUGUAUCUGAUCACUGUAAUCCACCUUCUCCAAAAUAUUUUUGCACUAACUGUGAUGAAAUAUUAAUUGUAAUGAAUACGAAUAUGUCUUAAUGCACAAUUAAAGUGGAUGACUGUUAA
This is a long non-coding RNA of Carassius gibelio (silver crucian carp), 1866 nucleotides long. RefSeq lists it as uncharacterized. The record is from RefSeq and is a predicted model, not a curated record. The transcript is spliced from 3 exons. Lineage: Eukaryota; Metazoa; Chordata; Actinopteri; Cypriniformes; Cyprinidae.